GUCACCUUCCUAGCGUCUCUCCAAAUCCCCCAAAUCAGAUCGACAUCCCUGGCGGCGGCCGACGCGUUCCUUGGUGGCUGACUCGUUCCUGCCGGCGGAGGGGGCGGCGGAAGGCGGAGGGCGCGCUCCCCGCGGCGGCUGGCGUUUUCCUCGCGGCAGAAGAGAGGGGGCUCUUCCUUGCGGCAGCGGCGGGCGUGUUCCUCGCGACGGCGGCGGCGACGGGCGUGUUCCUCGCGACGGCAGCGGCGGGCUUGUCCCUUGCGGCGGUGGUGGCAGCUCGGCUGCGUGGGGGAGGUGAAGCAGCGGCGGCAACGGCCGCGUGGUCGAAGGGAAGGGGCGCCUAGGGUUCCUCCUUCCCCAACCCCAACCAGCUCUGCAGGAACCGACGCCCCAAGCUCGCCAACGAGAUCUCGCUCUCACCGUCAACACCAGAAAAAGCUUCAACCCGAGAUGACCUUGGAGGAGCAGCGGAAAGCAAUACUCGCGCUAAAGACUGAGAAGAGAAAACUAGUUGGAUCUAAAGAAAAUUCAGUGUACAAAUGCUAAAUGUAAUGUUUGGAUCAUAUUGGGGUCUACUGAUUGGAUCAUAUGUUCAGAUCAGUACUAAACGUGGUACUGUACUUUGCAAAUGCUAGAGUGGUAUUUCCUACUUGCAAAACAAAAUUCAGUUUAGCAUGUAAUGUUUGGAUCAUAAGUUUACAAAUGUUGAUUCUGAA
This is a long non-coding RNA of Triticum dicoccoides, 716 nucleotides long. RefSeq lists it as uncharacterized. The transcript has 2 exons. Lineage: Eukaryota; Viridiplantae; Streptophyta; Magnoliopsida; Poales; Poaceae. The record is from RefSeq and is a predicted model, not a curated record.